Molecule: ribosomal RNA, 497 nt
Filed under: uncultured bacterium
Lineage: Bacteria
Description: partial 16S ribosomal RNA
Rfam family: Bacterial small subunit ribosomal RNA
Source: RNAcentral
GAUGAACGCUGGCGGCGUGCCUAAUACAUGCAAGUAGAACGCAACAGGAAGGAGCUUGCUCUUUCCGGGUGAGUUGCGAACGGGUGAGUAACGCGUAGGUAAACUGCCUGGUAGCGGGGGAUAACUGUUGGAAAAGAUAGCUAAUACCGCAUAACAGUAGAUGUUGCAUGAUAUCUACUUAAAAGGUGCAAUUGCACCACUACCAGAUGGACCUGCGUUGUAUUAGCUAGUUGGUGAGGUAACGGCUCACCAAGGCGACGAUACAUAGCCGACCUGAGAGGGUUAUCGGCCACACUGGGACUGAGACACGGCCCAGACUCCUACGGGACGCAGCAGUAGUGAACCUUCGGCAAUCGAUCUAAGGUUUGCUGAGCGACGCCGCUGGAGUGACGAAAGAUGUCGGAGCUGAUAGCACGGUUACAAACGAAGACAGAGCGUGAGAGUUAGGAGUUCUCAGUGUGACGGUACCAAAACAGAAAGGCACGGCUGACUACGUG